AGGGAAUCAAAACGGCUCCUUCGAAAAGAGCCUGUUGGGUAAACCCAGCCUCAGAGACACAAAUGCAUCUGGUUCCAGUAAAUAUUACGGCCCCUUGUUCAUGAAACGCUCUUCUGCUGCUUGGAGAGCACGGAGCAUGCUGUGUUGACAGGCACAGCAGCGCCAUGCCCAGGCUGAGCACACAAACCUCCCCAGCACCCCUGGCCAAUGCUGCCAGGGAAAUGCACGACCUGCAGCCCCACAUGGCUCGCUGCACAGACCCUGGGGGGCUGUCUUAGUCUCAGGUGGGAUCGAUUUUUCUUCAAUGUCUGCUAUGAUGCUACAACUGUGAUAACACUCUGACGUUUAGAGUUUCUGAUAAGCAGCCUUGUACAGAGCCAAGGCCGUUCUCAGCAAAGCUCUCAAGAAGGAGCUGGGAGGAAACCAAAUUAGGACAGCUGCCGUCAACGGGCCAAAGGGAUAUUCCAUACCACAUGACAUCAAGUGGAAGGGGCUUUGAAGGGCCUGGGAGUUCAUCUCACUCUCUUCCUCUGCUUGGCCAUUGGUUGGGAGGUGCUGAGCCACUGCUUCUACAUCACUUGUUAUAUACAUCCAUACAUAGAUAUAUAUACAUAUAUGCAUAUAUAUGUGUAUAUAUGUAUAUAUUAUAUAUAUAUAUAUAUAUAUAUUUAUAUAUAUAUGUAUGUAUCCAUUACCUCUGUCCUUUUCUCUACUUUUGGAAAGAGAUUUCUCUCAACACACAAGUUCCACCUUUUUUUUCUUUUUUUUUUUUUCCCCCCAUAAUUCUCUCCCCCAUCCCACUGGGAAGGGGGCAGUAAGCAAAGGACUGUGUGGUGCUGAGCCACCCACCGGCUUAAACCACAACAGGGCCGUGGGGCAAUGCCAGCAGACGUGAAGUGCACUGGGCUCAGCAGGAAAUGAAAACCAUCUGGAGGUACGCAAGCCCACUCUUUCAUUUUCCAGAAAACAACCUAUGGUGUCAAUGAAACAUGCCCCUCACUAGGAACAUCUGCAAGGAUGCUUUGAAUGACUGAG
Molecule: long non-coding RNA, 1035 nt
Filed under: Gallus gallus (chicken)
Lineage: Eukaryota; Metazoa; Chordata; Aves; Galliformes; Phasianidae
Source: RNAcentral